Molecule: ribosomal RNA, 325 nt
Filed under: uncultured bacterium
Lineage: Bacteria
Description: bacterial SSU rRNA
Rfam family: Bacterial small subunit ribosomal RNA
Source: RNAcentral
CUGCAUGGCUGUCGUCAGCUCGUGUCGUGAGAUGUUGGGUUAAGUCCCGCAACGAGCGCAACCCUUGUCCCUAGUUGCUACGCAAGAGCACUCUAGGGAGACUGCCGGUGACAAACCGGAGGAAGGUGGGGAUGACGUCAAGUCCUCAUGGCCCUUAUGGGUAGGGCUUCACACGUCAUACAAUGGUCGGAACAGAGGGUCGCCAAGCCGCGAGGUGGAGCCAAUCCCAGAAAACCGAUCGUAGUCCGGAUCGCACUCUGCAACUCGAGUGCGUGAAGCUGGAAUCGCUAGUAAUCGCGGAUCAGCAUGCCGCGGUGAAUACGUU